ACGUACACUCCUACGGGAGGCAGCAGUGGGGAAUUUUGGACAAUGGGCGAAAGCCUGAUCCAGCCAUGCCGCGUGCAGGAUGAAGGCCUUCGGGUUGUAAACUGCUUUUGUACGGAACGAAACGGCCUUUUCUAAUAAAGAGGGCUAAUGACGGUACCGUAAGAAUAAGCACCGGCUAACUACGUGCCAGCAGCCGCGGUAAUACGUAGGGUGCAAGCGUUAAUCGGAAUUACUGGGCGUAAAGCGUGCGCAGGCGGUUAUGUAAGACAGUUGUGAAAUCCCCGGGCUCAACCUGGGAACUGCAUCUGUGACUGCAUAGCUAGAGUACGGUAGAGGGGGAUGGAAUUCCGCGUGUAGCAGUGAAAUGCGUAGAUAUGCGGAGGAACACCGAUGGCGAAGGCAAUCCCCUGGACCUGUACUGACGCUCAUGCACGAAAGCGUGGGGAGCAAACAGGAUUAGAUACCCUGGUAGUCCCAUGA
Molecule: ribosomal RNA, 480 nt
Filed under: uncultured organism
Description: partial 16S ribosomal RNA
Rfam family: Bacterial small subunit ribosomal RNA
Source: RNAcentral